CCUACGGGUGGCAGCAGUGAGGAAUAUUGGUCAAUGGACGAGAGUCUGAACCAGCCAAGUAGCGUGAAGGAUGACUGCCCUAUGGGUUGUAAACUUCUUUUAUAUGGGAAUAAAAUGUUCCACGUGUGGGAUUUUGUAUGUACCAUAUGAAUAAGGAUCGGCUAACUCCGUGCCAGCAGCCGCGGUAAUACGGAGGAUCCGAGCGUUAUCCGGAUUUAUUGGGUUUAAAGGGAGCGUAGGUGGAUUGUUAAGUCAGUUGUGAAAGUUUGCGGCUCAACCGUAAAAUUGCAGUUGACACUGGCAGUCUUGAGUACAGUAGAGGUGGGCGGAAUUCGUGGUGUAGCGGUGAAAUGCUUAGAUAUCACGAAGAACUCCGAUUGCGAAGGCAGUUCACUGGACUGCAACUGACACUGAGGCUCGAAAGUGUGGGUAUCAAACAGGAUUAGAUACCCGAGUAGUC
This 460-nucleotide ribosomal RNA is filed under the name uncultured bacterium. Its description in RNAcentral is "partial 16S ribosomal RNA". It matches the Rfam family "Bacterial small subunit ribosomal RNA", at positions 338 to 795 of the family's 1533-position model. The record is from RNAcentral.